Molecule: ribosomal RNA, 499 nt
Filed under: uncultured bacterium
Lineage: Bacteria
Description: partial 16S ribosomal RNA
Rfam family: Bacterial small subunit ribosomal RNA
Source: RNAcentral
AUUGAACGCUGGCGGCAUGCGUAACACAUGCAAGUCGAACGGUUUCUGGUGCUUGCACCGGAGAUAGUGGCGGACGGGUGAGUAAUACGUAGGAAUCUGUCUUAGAGAGGGGGACAACCCGAGGAAACUUAGGCUAAAACCGCAUAAACUCGGAAGAGAAAAGCAGGGGACCGGAAACGGCCUUGUGCUCUAAGGUGAGCCUACGUCGGAUUAGCUAGUUGGUGGGGUAAAGGCCUACCAAGGCGAUGAUCUGUAGCUGGUCUGAGAGGACGGACAGCCACACUGGGACUGAGACACGGCCCAGACUCCUACGGGAGGCAGCAGUGGGGAAUAUUGGACAAUGGGGGAACCCUGAUCCAGCGAUGCCGCGUGUGUGAAGAAGGCCUGCGGGUUGUAAAGCACUUUCAGUUGGAAAGAGAAGCGAGAUGAGAAUAUUGUUUCGUGGAGACGUUACUAACAGAAGAAGCACCGGCUAACUCUGUGCCAGCAGCCGCAGUAA